RNAcentral lists this long non-coding RNA (392 nucleotides) under Nicotiana tabacum (common tobacco). Its description in RNAcentral is "long non-coding RNA (NTAB_LNC007331)". The record is from RNAcentral. Lineage: Eukaryota; Viridiplantae; Streptophyta; Magnoliopsida; Solanales; Solanaceae.
GAACAAUAAUUUGGUCAGGUGACUUUGUGAAUGACUACUGACUGUUUGCCUCAAAUUGUCUAACCUGACUUCAAUUGGCAUUGCAAAAUCUAACCAGAGGUAAUUGCAUAUGAAAUAGAAUGAAAAUCUUUGUACCUUAUGCUUUCUAUUUAAGCUGUUGUGUUUUUAUAUCCCUGAUAGUUGUGGGAUCUUUUACUGGUUAACCGGUGCAUUUGUUGAUUUAUAUUAGACUUCACCUGUUCACCAAUGAUAUUCAGGAAUCAUAUUUAUAAGUCCGCUUUUUUCCAGGUAAUAACUCUCAGCUUUCUCCAGCUCAUUGGAAAUUCCAUGCUCCAAGUACAUAAAUGUAUAGCUCUUCAGGAACUGUAACUUCUAGUUUGUCCUUUCACUAC